AUUGGCAAUUGUCAACUGAGGAAAAUGGGAUGGAAUUUAAAUGAGGUCUGGUUGGUGCUAUAAUCAUUAAUGAUUUCACAUAAGAGGAUUGAUUUUGUUCAAAUUGUUUACGAAGAUGGAUAAAGAGUGAUUGUAAUUUUAAGGUUGGCUAUAGCGCAAAAUAUGACAUCUGAAGUAAUACCAUUAGUAAUAUGGCAGGGAUGAGCAAAUGGAUGGUGAGUAAAUAUUAUGCUGAGGCAGUAUUUUGUGCCAAUAUUUUCAACAUUAUUUAAUUUUUUUUAAACAGAAAUCUGGGAAU
Molecule: unclassified non-coding RNA, 298 nt
Filed under: Hevea brasiliensis (rubber tree)
Lineage: Eukaryota; Viridiplantae; Streptophyta; Magnoliopsida; Malpighiales; Euphorbiaceae
Source: RNAcentral